AAAAAAAAAAGAAGAGAAAUAUGAAGGUGUUCGGGAGCGUUUUACCGACCCUCCAUUGGGCCGAAGAUUCAAUACUAGAAGGGCUGGAGAGACCGAUGGGCCGAAGCCCAUGAAGGUGUUGGAGGUGUUCGGGUCGGCAUUUGAGCCCUUCGGGACCAUAGCCGAACCUGGUCUUGUGAUGUUCGGGGUCGGGUCUUCGAGUUCUUUGGGCCGAAGCCCAGGUUAGAUUAUAGGACCGUUUGGGCCUGCACAGUGGGCUCUCCUGCGUGCAGAGUCCGGGUACCUAUUCAUAUGCAUAUAAGGUAACUCCAAAGGUGGUGAUGAGAUUGGACUCUACUUGCACCUUUUAAGGAGAUGGCGUUGGACCCAAGUUAUGGUAAUUACCAUAUACUAGGAGUCCUAAUCCGACUGGAAGAAGGAUUCUAAGGUGGUGAGUACUAUAAAUAUGAGGCCUAGGUUAUCAUUAUGAGGUAAUACCCAUUUUUAAGCACUAAAUACUUAUCCUCCAUUGUUAAACCUUGUAACGGCUUGUACUCAUUCUCACACCGGAGCUAUCCCCCGGCGGCAUAAGCCGUCAAGCUUCUGUGUGAUCCGUUACUGUGCAGGUUCUAGCGCGUGGAUUCUGUGAUUGGACGCGCCGGCGAAACUUGGCGUUAACAUUGGCGCUAGAAGGAGGGCAGUGCUUAAAUAACAAUCACAAUCAAACCCUUUUCAGGUAAGGAACUAUGGCGAGUGUGGAGUAUGCAGUUUCCGACCGUGAAAAGGCCAAAACACACCAGACCACUCAGGUGAGAGGAUCGGUGAAAGACAGACUGGGCUCCAGAACCCAGGACGAUCAGAUGGAGCCGGCUGGCUCCCCCCGACGAAGACUCUUCCAUGAGAGCCAGCAUACCCGCAACCAGGCCAGUCGGAUGGACGAAGCCAAUUCGCGAGCGUUGGAGGCGCGGGAAAAGAGUCGUAGCCAGGGUAGUCGAGAUCAGAGAGAAUUCAUCUUGCAGAAAAAGAUGCAGCAAAACAAAGAUGCCAUAAUGAUCCUACGUCUUCAGCAGGAAGAGCUCGAACUGCAGAUGGCCAACGCGCUCGGGGAGGAAGAGGCGUCCUCUAAGAGGCGCAGGCACCAUAGCCGGUCUCGGUCACCCCGAAGGGAAGGGGCUGAAAGGGAAAAAAGUAGGUAUAGAAGUCGUUCGAGGGAUGGCCGAAGCCGGAGAAGAAGCCGGUCAGCAGGACGACGUUCCGAGCACCCGGGUCGGUCUGGGCAGAGGAGAAGAGAGGAGAUUCCCGAACGUGAGAAGGACAGACCCCAUUCGUCCCCUCACGAAGGAGAAUCCGACCCCCUCGCUCGAAGAGUGGCUGAAUUGGAGAAGCUGUUGUUGGUCAAGAGCCCGGUCGGAGCGCCCUCGACCUAUAUAGGGUCACCCUUCUCUCCGAAAAUUAAUCAGGAGAUAGCGGACCCCAAAAGGAAGAUGCCCCCGAUGGAGACUUAUGACGGGCUGGGGGACCCUUACGACCAUUCUGAUGGGUAUGACAGGUUGAUGACGUAUUAUGGCCACUCUGAUGCAGCCAAGUGCCACAUGUUUGCUACUACCCUGAAGAAAAGCGCCCGGGAAUGGAUGGGAACCUUGGCGUCGGGAUCGAUAACUUCAUGGAAAGACCUUCGGGAAAAAUUUCAUGCACGGUUCGGGAGUAAUAAGAGACGGGGGAAGAUCACAGCAUCCCUCAUGCAGGUCAGGCAGAGAUCAGAUGAGAGCCUGGGGCAGUAUGUUAAGAGAUUUCGGGAGGCUGUGGGGUCGGUGGUGGAGCUGAAUUCCCCACAAGCUUUGGGAUUCUUCACAACGGGGCUUGACAUCGGAAAAUCAAAGAAGCUGAUGAAGGACCUGGUGAUCAACCCCCCGGCCGACCUGACAGAGGCCUUCCAUAGGGCCGAAGAUCACAUAGCAAUCGAGGAAGCGAUGGGGAAUUUCAAACCUCAAUCCCACGAGAAGUACCGAGAUCGGGACAAACAGAGCUAUCAGAAGUCUGACAAUCAGGGGAGGUCGGAUAGCUACAAGAAAAACUACAAACGGGGGGGGGCGGUGGAAGGCCACCCUUCCCAAAUAAAGGGGUCAACAAGGUGUACACCGCACUCAAUACAGAUCGGGCCAAGAUACUGGAAGAGAUGCGAAGCAAGCCCUUUUUCGAACCAUGUCAAACGAUCCCGAAGCCAGGGAAGAGGGGUCGGAACAAGUAUUGUGCGUACCACCAGAGUCGGGGUCACACGACAGAAGAUUGCACCAACUUGAAAGACUUAAUAGAAAAGAAUGUCCAGAACGGGAAGUUGGUACAGUACGUAGUUGGCCGAGAAGGGUCGGAAGCCCCAGGAGAGGACAACAGCGAGCCCACCCGACAAGCACAGCCGCAACCGAACCCACAAGCUCGAGGAGUUAUUGAUGUGAUAUCAGGCGGGUCGGUAGGGCGUGUGACUGGCAGGAAAAGGAAUGGACAUCUCGCAGCCGUACUAUCAUUGGCUGGGUCCUCGCCCAGAAAGGACAGGCCAUAUUCAGGCACGAUCAUCUCCUUCUCAGACGACGACUACCCCACAGAACAGAUCGAACCGCAUGACGGGGCACUGGUAAUCACGGCUCAGGUCGGGCCAGUGGACAUGAAGAGGAUGAUGAUCGACAACGGGUCUUCGGUUGAUAUACUCUACACACAUGCAUACCAACGGAUGANNNNNNNNNNNNNNNNNNNNNNNNNNNNNNNNNNNNNNNNNNNNNNNNNNNNNNNNNNNNNNNNNNNNNNNNNNNNNNNNNNNNNNNNNNNNNNNNNNNNUGAAGACGCGUUCCAGGAGAUCAAGAGAUAUUUGGGUUCGGCAGCAUUAUUAAUGAAACCGAUCCCCACAGAACCUUUAUACUUAUACUUGGCUGCGAGCCCGAUGGCAGUAGGGGCGGCACUGGUAAGGGAUGAGGGAGAUAAGCAAUUCCCGGUGUACUAUGUCAGCCAUGUUCUCCGAGACGCAGAAACGAGAUACCCGAACCUGGAAAAAUUUGCUUACGCCCUCAUAAUUGCUAGCAGGAAACUCAGGCACUAUUUCCAGGGUCGGUUGAUAGUGGUCUACACAGACCAACCUUUGAAGAAGAUUUUGCACAAGCCUGAAGUAUCAGGUCGGUUAGCCGCUUGGGCAAUGGAAUUGACACAAUUUGUUAUAGAGUAUCGUCCCCGAACGGCAAUCAAAGGGCAGACAUUGGCUGACUUCGUGGUUGAGUGUUCUUUCACCGAACCGGAGGCGAAUAUAGUAGCCGAAACACAACCAAUCCAGACCUCAUGGACUCUAUACGUGGAUGGAUCGUCAACUAUGGAUGUCAGUGGAGCAGGGGUCAUCCUAACAAGUCCCGAAGGGUUCAAGGUGCAGCAAGCUAUUCGGUUUGGUUUCAAGGCCACAAAUAACGAAGCAGAGUAUGAGGCCAUCUUAGCAGGGAUACGAUUGGCCCGAAGCCUAGAGGUACAGCGGUUGAUCAUCUACAGUGAUUCACAGCUGGUGGUCAAGCAGUUAUCGGGCGAGUACGAAGCCCGGGGGGCAAGGAUGACCAAAUAUUUGGCUGAGCUAAAGGAUAAGCUUAUGUACUUCACUUCAUACAGUUGUCAGGGGGUGGACCGGUCAGAGAAUACGAUAGCAGAUGCCUUGGCAAGGCUGGCAACAACUGAAGCAAGCUCUUUCAAUGGAUCAGUGUACUUGGAGGUUCUGUAAAAACCCAGUGUCCCAAAGACAGAAGUCUUGGCUUUGGACCGGCUCAAUUGCUGGCUCACACCUUAUAUCUCAUACUUGGCCAAUGGGACCCUCCCUUCGGACCGAAUCCUAGCCAGGUAAGUCAAACACCGAAGCUCGAACUUCACCCUCAUAGAUGGAGAUCUAUACCGAAAGGCCUUUAGCUCUCCACUGCUCAAAUGCUUGACUCCUUCAGAGGCAGACUACACGCUUCGGGAGAUGCAUGAGGGAAUCUGUGGGGAUCACAUGGGAGCAAAGUCACUGGCGCAUAAGAUUUUGAGGCAGGGGUAUUACUGGCCAACCAUCUACACUGAAGCAAAGGAAUUCGUUAGGAGGUGUCCCAAGUGCCAGCUGAACAGCAAUAUCCUGCACCAACCCCCCGAGGAACUAUAUUCCGUCUUGUCCCCGAUCCCGUUUGCUAUGUGGGGAAUCGACAUUCUGGGGCCUCUGCCAAAAGCUAAGGGACAAGUUAGCUUUGUGAUCGUGGCUAUUGAUUACAUGACAAAGUGGGUCGAAGCCAAACCACUGCAAAAGAUCACCAAACAGGAGUGUUUGAAGUUUUUUAAAGAAGGGGUAGUCUACUGGUUCGGUAUCCCGAUGGCAGUGGUCUCGGACAAUGGCAGACAGUUUGUGGGGUCUAAGUUUGAAGGCUUUUUAAAAGAAUUAGGGAUCCAGCAUCGCAAGACUUUGGUUGCCCAUCCUCAGUCAAACGGCCAAGUGGAAGUGACCAAUCAAACCCUACUCAAUGAGAUUAAACGCAGAUUAGAUGCAUUAAAGGGUCGGUGGCCCGAAGAACUGCUAUCUGUUUUGUGGGCGUAUCGAACUACCCCAAGGACUACAACUGGAGACUCCCCAUUCAGGUUGGCAUACGGGACCGAUGCACUCAUUCCUGUUGAGAUCGGAUCUCCAACUCUUCGAGUCAGCCAAUACAAAGAGCUAUAUAAUGACGAGGGUUUGAGAACAAAUUUAGAUUUAUUAGAUGAAGUUCGGGAUUCAGCCAUGAUGAGGUUGGCGAUCUAUCAGCAGCGAACAUCCCGACACUAUAAUCAGAAGGUGAAGACAAGGAGGUUUCCAAUACGAGAUUUGGUCCUCCGGGAGUCGGAGGCAUCAACCCCCCAAAACACUGGCAAGCUAAUGCCCAACUGGGAGGGACCUUAUGAGGUGGUAGGAGUGCCGAAGCCAGGAACCUACCGGCUUCGAGUAAUGGACGGUUCGGAGGUAAAGAAUACAUGGCAUGCUGGAAGACUUAUAAAAUUUUACCAGUAAUAGUUAUGUCGUUCUUAUUUUUAUCCAUGUAAUCGUUUCAAUUCAAAUGAUAUAAAUGAAAGUUCCCAUUCCUGUCAAUGUUUAACUUCAUCUAUAUUCAUAUAUUUCGUUACUACUUGAACAGACAUGCUUCGGGCACUAUCCGAUCAAGAGCUUCGGAAAAACUCCACUGAUCGAGAUAAGUCCCGAGCAUAACUGACCAAGAGUGUAAUAAAUGCUUACAGUACAGAUCUCGGGCACUAUCCGAUCGAGAGGUUCGGGCAGACACCACUGAUCGAGAUAAGUCUCGGGUAUAACUGUUGACCCUCUAAAAUCAGAUAAACUCUAAGGACGAUCCGAUCAGAAGGUUCGGGUGGACAUAACUGAUCGAGAUUAGUCAUAAGUGAAACUGACAAUAAGCAUUCAUGGGCAAAGAGUAUAUCUUAUUUAUACUUAUAAAAUUUUUACUUUACAAACCCGGUCGCUUACGAUUCGGGCUAAGUACAAAAAAGGAAAAAUUUUCUAUAUUACAAAUCCUACAUAUCUACUCGGCAGGGGGGUCAUCUUCAGCGUCAGACUCCUCAUCCGAAGAGUCAAGGACGGAGACAUCAAGCCCAGCAGCCAUUAACUUUGCUUUAGCCUUUUCCCGAUGAGUCUCAUACCCUUCACCAAAUUGGGUUAUGACCUUAUCCUUCAAGGCUUCAGAUUCCUCGUAUUCGGCGAUGGCUUGCUGUCUGGCUUCGAUCAUCUUCUCGGGAAAGGCGUUGACGGUAGCAGUCAAGGUGUUGUUCUCCUUGAUCAAGAACAUCAUCUUGUCGUGCAUCUCGGAGAACUUGUGUGUAAUGCUGUCAAUAGCGCUCUCCCGAUCCUUGACAUCUUGGAGCAGACGACCCCUCUCUGCCAGAAGAGCACUGUGCUCAUGCUCCAGCUCUUCGACCCGGCCCUCCGCUCGGGCCGCCUGGCCUCGGGUCUCAGCAUGAGAAUCCCGUUCCUUCUUCAGGUCUGACUGCAGACCCCGAACUUCAGCCUCCAGCAGCUCCACCUCCGUCCCCAGCUGAACUUCUUUCUUUGUGGAUCGGGCGAGGGGAGGGAUGGCUCGGGCGAGUAUAGCGUUGGCCUGCAGUGAACACAUACAUCAGUACAAGAAGUAAAGGUCAAAGUUAAUAGCAGCAACCAGAUUGACAAAGGGAAUUACCUGGGUCUGAGCUCGAACAUAGGCCACCAAGAAUUGAUCGGGAGAGUACCCUUUAAACCGGUCGUCGUCACCAGGAAAUUUGAAGUGAUCGAAGAGGGUAAAAGGGAAGACCUCUGACGGGCUCUUGGGCCAACAGGUGGUCGGUGAUCCCCGAGAAGAGCUGAGACCGGAAGAAGGAGUGGCGGAACGGUCCAGACCGGGGACCACCAUCUCUCCUGUCGGCUGAUCGGAACCUUCCGACAACCGAGGCCUUUUUGAUCGGGGUUCGGGAGGAACCUCUUCGGUGUCCUCAGAAUCCUCGACCGCCUCGGUUGACGGAGGGGGCGGCGGGAGAGUCGGCUUCGGCAGAAAAGGCGGAACGACUUUUGCAGGCGCUUUGACGGUCGGCUUGGAGGGCUUCUUGGACUUUUUUAGUAAAGCCGCCUUCUCCGCGCGGCUCAUCUUCAGCGCCCCUCUUUGUGUGGUCGGGGGCUCGGGCCCCAAAGUGGACCCCAACGACAGUUCGCUGAUCGGGACCGUAUCCUCCUCAGGAGCAUCGUCGGUCACUGGGGGUCGGAUGAACCCGGGGGUGACGGUGGCAGGGAUGAAGGCGUCGACAACGCCCUCUGGCUUGAAAAUGGUCACUGCACGGGGACAAAUGGGUUAAGGCAUGGAAAGCUUCAGAAAAUAGGAGGAAAAAUAAUGAAAAACAGAAGGAUACUCACAGCCGUGUUUGUACAACCAGGCUUCGUUCAUCAGAAGCCCCAGAUUCCAUUGGGUCCUUUGCCAUUGCUUGUAGAAUGUCUUGAAGGCAUCGGCUCGGCCCUUCGGGAACUUUGAAAUCUUCGCCGCCUGGUCGGCUGGAUGGGCCCAGGGGGGAAGGAGUUGGAGGUCGGUUCCCUUGGCAAAAAACCACUGUUCAUGCCACCCCUUGUUGCUUGAAGGGGUCUUGAUCGGGACGGUGCGGUUGGGGCGUUUGUUGAGUUGCCGAAGACCGGGCUCUUUCGAACCACUAACGGUGAACAGGGCAAAGAAUAGAUCGAGCCCGGGAUUGAGACCCACCUCUUGGCAGACGGCUAUGAAAGAGACUAAGUGGAUGUACGCGUUCGGCACAAGCUGCGUGAACCCGACUCCCACAAAGCUCAAGAAGGAAGAAAUGAAAUCGUGAAGUGGGAACCGAACCCCGUACUUUAGAACGUACAGGGGGACGACUACCCACUCGCCCUCGGGACGCCAAAACAUCUUCUCAUCGGGCAUAGGCACUCGAAGUUGGUAUUCUUCAGGAAUCUUAAAAAGGGACCGGAUGUCAGAAAUCUGUGAGGGGGUGAUGGUGGAAGGAGUAUGAAGGUGAGAAAACUCCUCCGACGAAUAGUAUGCAUUUCGAAUCCUAGCCUCGGUGUCUACCGGACUAGGCAGGAUCGAAGGAGUGGGGUCGGCAGGGGCAUCCUGCAGUACGACAUCUAGAAGGUCGCCGGUGGUGACGGCGGAGGUAGCGGUGAUAGGCUCAGUGGCCGGAAUAGUGCUGGAUUUGGCCAUUUAAAAAGAAUGUGAUGCAAAUAAGAAGUUUUGGAGGGGAGAUAAGCAAAAAUAGCACUCAAAUGACAGUACAGUUGAGGAAAAUGGUGCAGAUUGGGUAAGAGAUAAGCUUGCCGGAAAUCGCCUUGCCGGAGAAUUUGAAAGCAAAGAGUCAGUAAAAGUGAUAAUGAGGGGGGAAGGGGAGUUUUUAUAAGGAGUACGACAUGGAACCCCAAGGCGGCUAUUAAAUACUGGAGGUGGGCCCAGGCGUGAAAAGGCGUGCAACGUUUCAAAUAUCAAGAAGGGACUGUACGGCUUCCACAGACAGUUCAUCAUUAUCUGUCAUGACCGUUCAAGUCCUGACCUUUCAAGUCUCCAAUCAUAAAUAUGUUAUGAUUAGAGACUGGGGGGCAAUGUUCGGGAGCGUUUUACCGACCCUCCAUUGGGCCGAAGAUUCAAUACCAGAAGGGCUGGAGAGACCGAUGGGCCGAAGCCCAUGAAGGUGUUGGAGGUGUUCGGGUCGGCAUUUGAGCCCUCCGGGACCAUAGCCGAACCUGGUCUUGUGAUGUUCGGGGUCGGGUCUUCGAGUUCUUUGGGCCGAAGCCCAGGUUAGAUUAUAGGACCGUUUGGGCCUGCACAGUGGGCUCUCCUGCGUGCAGAGUCUGGGUACCUAUUCAUAUGCAUAUAAGGUAACUCCAAAGGUGGUGAUGAGAUUGGACUCUACUUGCACCUUUUAAGGAGAUGGCGUUGGACCCAAGUUAUGGUAAUUACCAUAUACUAGGAGUCCUAAUCCGACUGGGAGAAGGAUUCUAAGGUGGUGAGUACUAUAAAUAUGAGACCUAGGUUAUCAUUAUGAGGUAAUACCUAUUUUUAAGCACUAAAUACUUAUCCUCCAUUGUUAAACUUUGUAACGGCCUGUACUCAUUCU
Molecule: long non-coding RNA, 8604 nt
Filed under: Panax ginseng (ginseng)
Lineage: Eukaryota; Viridiplantae; Streptophyta; Magnoliopsida; Apiales; Araliaceae
Description: long non-coding RNA (PGIN_LNC001009)
Source: RNAcentral